RNAcentral lists this ribosomal RNA (472 nucleotides) under uncultured bacterium. Its description in RNAcentral is "bacterial SSU rRNA". It matches the Rfam family "Bacterial small subunit ribosomal RNA", at positions 917 to 1382 of the family's 1533-position model. The record is from RNAcentral.
GGGCUCACACAAGCGGUGGAGCAUGUGGUUCAAUUCGAAGCAACGCGCAGAACCUUACCUGGGCUUGACAUGCUAGGAUUAUCCCUGUGAAAGCAGGGUAGGCCCUUCGGGGUACAACUAGUACAGGUGCUGCAUGGCUGUCGUCAGCUCGUGUCGUGAGAUGUCGGGUUAAGUCCCUUAACGAGCGAAACCUUUGCCCUUAGUUACCAGCGAGUAAAGUCGGGGACUCUAAGGGGACUGCCGGUGUCAAACCGGAGGAAGGUGGAGAUGACGUCAAGUCCUCAUGGCCUUUAUGCCCAGGGCCACACACGUGCUACAAUGGGGUGCACAGAGCGAACCGAGACCGCAAGGUGGAGGAAAUCGCAUAAAUCACCCCCCAGUUCAGAUCGGAGGCUGCAACUCGCCUCCGUGAAGUUGGAAUCGCUAGUAAUCGCGGAUCAGCUACGCCGCGGUGAAUGUGUUCCUGAGCCUU